AAAUAGAAUUUGAUAGAUACAAUGUGAAAACAUUUUUACGAUUUAGCUCACGAGUUUGAGGGAGAGGAUCCACUCCGGUGGAAAUUUCCUCCUGUGAAAUAAUCUUAACCAUCCAUUCUUUUAAUGACAUCUUAAUUAAUCUUAGCCCUUAAUUUUUAUUUUUUAUUUUACAAGUUGAUUCAUUUCUUUUCUUCCCUUCCUCACGUUGUUUCUUUGCCAUUCAUUCACUCUCAAUUUCAGAAACCCAUCUCAACAGCGGCGGCGGAACGGUGGUUGCGCGGUGGAGACGUGUGGCGGCAAACCACAACAGCUGACUACAGCGACGGUUGUCCUUCCUUCUCUAUUUUCCAUCUUCCUUCAAAAUCCUUCUUUCCUUAUGUUGUGCGGCGGAGGGGCACCACGAUGGUGGAUUACGGUUGAAAGGUUUUUUUUUUUUAUGUCUACAACCCUAACUUAAUUGGUGAAAUACCUGAAAGAAUUGGAGAUAUGGUUUAUUUGGAGAAGUUGGUUAUGUCGCAAAAUGGUUUAUGAGUGGCAAUGGUACCUUAGAGUGUCUGUUGCGGUGGAGUUGUCGUGGUCUCUUGUGCUUUCGAGGUUGAAGCUGUGGUAUUCGGCGCGUGCGGGACUGUUUUGGCACUGAUGUUACUGCUGUAUAUGACAGCAUCAGUUUUUCUUGUAUGAUAGCAGCAAGGUUCGGCUGCUGUUUGUUGAUAGCAGGGCAGAUUUUUGUGCCAGUACAACAUCAGUUUUUCUGGUUUGAUAGUAGCAAGGUUCAGCAGCUGUGUGUUGAUAGCAGGGCAGAUUUUUUGGGCCAGUUUUUAGGGUGUUGGUUUCGAGUUUUCCGGUAUAUCGGUGACCUCUGUUUGUUUUCCUUGUCCGCGAGUUUGUUGCACUUGUACACUCUCGACGUGAAUAAAAUUUGUUUAUUCUAAAAAGAAAAAUGUAAAAGAGGAAGAGUUAUUAGUUUGUAUUAGAUUGUUUGUACUACAAUGUAAAAUUAUAGUCCUGGUUGUAAAAGAGGAAGAGUUAUUAGCUUGUAUUAGGUUCUUUGUACAUCAAUGUAAAAUUAUAGUUAUGGUUUUAACAUGUGAUCUUCAAGAUCUUGUACUUUGAAAUUUCGAUCAAUGGAACCUAAUUAUUUGUCUA
This is a long non-coding RNA of Medicago truncatula (barrel medic), 1146 nucleotides long. RefSeq lists it as uncharacterized. The transcript has 2 exons. The record is from RefSeq and is a predicted model, not a curated record. NCBI's taxonomy places the organism in Eukaryota, Viridiplantae, Streptophyta, Magnoliopsida, Fabales, Fabaceae.